UUGCAAAAAUUGAGAACUGAGCUCACAUGAGGAUAUACCAAAUUUAUUUAAAGAGAGCAACAAAGAAAAUAUUGCAGCAAAAACUGUAGCUAAGUAUGUUCGAUAGUGAUUAUCAUUUUGAGCAAUGUUAGAGGCACUGCUGAAAGCCUUGCUUAUAUCUUCAAUACUUCGGACACGCGUGCAGCUACACUGCUGCUACGGCGCCUCAAUGGUAAUGACGCUUCAUUGGCGAUGAUUUUCGCAGUAAUUUUGACGUAUUCUUUAUUUUUAUGCAGCUGAGUGACAGUGAUUGCGCUAGAAUGUCCAAUUUUUCUUUAGUGUUGAGCUACCUUUGUUUAUCUGUUUAUCUUUCAAACAGCACCAGGCACUACUAUGUCUGGGCCCACUCCUGAAACAAAUCGCACCGUUAACUAUGGUAUACACAUCGAUGGACAUGGCUGUAUAUAUAAAGUUCUCAAGUCCGCAAACGCACUGGUAAGUAAAAUGUUAAGCAAUCCAUUGGUCUUUAAGAGCA
Molecule: long non-coding RNA, 514 nt
Organism: Dermacentor silvarum
Lineage: Eukaryota; Metazoa; Arthropoda; Arachnida; Ixodida; Ixodidae
Exons: 3
Source: RefSeq, a predicted model, not a curated record